This 213-nucleotide long non-coding RNA is filed under the name Nicotiana benthamiana. Its description in RNAcentral is "long non-coding RNA (NBEN_LNC000715)". The record is from RNAcentral. Lineage: Eukaryota; Viridiplantae; Streptophyta; Magnoliopsida; Solanales; Solanaceae.
GAAAGAGUAUCACCUUGCCUUAAUCCCCUUUGUGACUUGAAAUAUCCUUCUGGACUUCCAUUAACCGAGAUUGAAAAUCUCAUUCUAGAGAUGCGCAUCUUAAUCCAUUGAGUCCACUUAUCACCAAAUUCAUCCACUUUAGAAUCUUCAAGAGACAAGACCUACUCACGUGAUCAUAAGCUUUUUUUAGUCAAGGUUGCAUUGAUACACCCC